Molecule: ribosomal RNA, 257 nt
Filed under: uncultured bacterium
Lineage: Bacteria
Description: partial 16S ribosomal RNA
Rfam family: Bacterial small subunit ribosomal RNA
Source: RNAcentral
CGCACGGGUGAGUAACACGUAUGCAACCUGCCUGCCACAGCCGGAUAAUCGGGAGAAAUUCCGUCUAAUACGGCAUAAUGCAUCGACGGGACAUCCUGUUGGUGCCAAAGGUUAAUUCCGGUGGCGGAUGGGCAUGCGUCGCAUUAGUUAGUUGGCGGUGUAACGGACCACCAAGACGACGAUGCGUAGGGGUUCUGAGAGGAAGGUCCCCCACAUUGGGACUGAGACACGGCCCAAACUCCUACGGAAGGCAGCAG